GUUGGUAGAGCGGAGGACUGUAGUGG
RNAcentral lists this non-coding RNA (26 nucleotides) under Cricetulus griseus (Chinese hamster). Lineage: Eukaryota; Metazoa; Chordata; Mammalia; Rodentia; Cricetidae. The record is from RNAcentral.